GUUAUAUGGUCAAGUGAAGAAGCGCAUACGGUGGAUGCCUUGGCAGUCAGAGGCGAUGAAAGACGUGGUAGCCUGCGAUAAGCUUUGGGGAGUCGGCAAACAGACUGUGAUCCAGAGAUCUCUGAAUGGGGGAACCCACUCAGCAUAAGCUGAGUAUCUUGUACUGAAUACAUAGGUGCAAGAGGCGAACCAGGGGAACUGAAACAUCUAAGUACCCUGAGGAAAAGAAAUCAACCGAGAUUCCCUAGUAGUGGCGAGCGAACGGGACCAGCCUUAAGUUGAUUUGAGAUUAGUGGA
This 297-nucleotide ribosomal RNA is filed under the name Pseudomonas monteilii. Its description in RNAcentral is "partial 23S ribosomal RNA". It matches the Rfam family "Bacterial large subunit ribosomal RNA", at positions 1 to 298 of the family's 2925-position model. The record is from RNAcentral. Lineage: Bacteria; Pseudomonadati; Pseudomonadota; Gammaproteobacteria; Pseudomonadales; Pseudomonadaceae.